UCUCUUGAGAAAGAGCUGCUUUCAAAC
Molecule: non-coding RNA, 27 nt
Filed under: Rattus norvegicus (Norway rat)
Lineage: Eukaryota; Metazoa; Chordata; Mammalia; Rodentia; Muridae
Source: RNAcentral